AUUGACCGCUGGCGGCAGGCCUAACACAUGCAAGUCGAACGAUUGGCGGACGUGUGAAUAAUGUCUGUGAAACUGCCUUAUGUAGUGGGCUAACUACUGGAACAGGUAGCUAAUACCGCCUAACGUCAUAUGUGCCCAUAUGGUAUUAUCUUGUUGGUGGGUGAACGGCUCACCAAGGCGACGAUCCCUAGCUGGUCUGAGAGGAUGACCAGACACACGGGAACUGAGAUACUGUCCAGACUGCUACGGGAGGCAGCAGGGGUGAAUAUUGCAAAUUGUGCGCAAGCCUGAUGCACACAUGCCGCGUGAAUAGAGAAGUCCUUCGCGUUGUAAAGUAUUUUCAGUGGGGAGGCGUUACCCCCAGAAGAAGCACCGGCUAACUCCGUGCCAGCAGCCGCGGUAAUAC
This 406-nucleotide ribosomal RNA is filed under the name uncultured bacterium. Its description in RNAcentral is "partial 16S ribosomal RNA". It matches the Rfam family "Bacterial small subunit ribosomal RNA", at positions 30 to 526 of the family's 1533-position model. The record is from RNAcentral.